RNAcentral lists this ribosomal RNA (475 nucleotides) under uncultured bacterium. RNAcentral describes it as "partial 16S ribosomal RNA". It matches the Rfam family "Bacterial small subunit ribosomal RNA", at positions 30 to 505 of the family's 1533-position model. The record is from RNAcentral.
AUUGAACGCUGGCGGCAUGCCUUACACAUGCAAGUCGAACGGUAACAGGUUAAGCUGACGAGUGGCGAACGGGUGAGUAAUGUAUCGGAACGUGCCCAGUCGUGGGGGAUAACUGCUCGAAAGAGCAGCUAAUACCGCAUACGACCUGAGGGUGAAAGCGGGGGAUCGCAAGACCUCGCGCGAUUGGAGCGGCCGAUAUCAGAUUAGGUAGUUGGUGAGGUAAAGGCUCACCAAGCCGACGAUCUGUAGCUGGUCUGAGAGGACGACCAGCCACACUGGGACUGAGACACGGCCCAGACUCCUACGGGAGGCGGCAGUGGGGAAUUUUGGACGAGGGGCGCAAGCCUGAUCCAGCCAUGCCGCGUGCGGGAAGAAGGCCUUCGGGUUGUAAACCGCUUUUGUCAGGGAAGAAAAGGUUCUGGCUAAUACCUGGGACUCAUGACGGUACCUGAAGAAUAAGCACCGGCUAACUACG